GACGAACGCUUGCGACGUGCCUAAGAAAUGCAAGUCGAGCGAGGCAGCAAUGCCUAGCGGCGAACGGUCGCGUAACACGUAAGCAACCUGCCCCAAAGACCGGGACAACGUUCCGAAAGGAGCGCUAAUACCGGAUGUGCCCGCCGGGUGACAUCGCCUGGUGAGUAAAUCGAGCAAUCGGCUUUGGGGAGGGGCUUGCGGCCUAUCAGCUAGAUGGUGGGGUAACGGCCUACCAUGGCGACGACGGGUAGCUGGUCUGAGAGGAUGGUCAGCCGGAUUGGGACUGAGAUAC
Molecule: ribosomal RNA, 292 nt
Filed under: uncultured bacterium
Lineage: Bacteria
Description: partial 16S ribosomal RNA
Rfam family: Bacterial small subunit ribosomal RNA
Source: RNAcentral